Molecule: ribosomal RNA, 433 nt
Filed under: uncultured bacterium
Lineage: Bacteria
Description: partial 16S ribosomal RNA
Rfam family: Bacterial small subunit ribosomal RNA
Source: RNAcentral
AGCGAACGCUGGCGGCAGGCCUAACACAUGCAAGUCGAACGAACUCUUCGGAGUUAGUGGCGGACGGGUGAGUAACACGUGGGAACGUGCCUUUUGGUUCAGAAUAACUCAGGGAAACUUGUGCUAAUACCGAAUGUGCCCUUCGGGGGAAAGAUUUAUCGCCAUUAGAGCGGCCCGCGUCUGAUUAGCUAGUUGGUGAGGUAACGGCUCACCAAGGCGACGAUCAGUAGCUGGUCUGAGAGGAUGACCAGCCACACUGGGACUGAGACACGGCCCAGACUCCUACGGGAGGCAGCAGUGGGGAAUCUUGCGCAAUGGGCGAAAGCCUGACGCAGCCAUGCCGCGUGAAUGAUGAAGGUCUUAGGAUUGUAAAAUUCUUUCACCGGGGACGAUAAUGACGGUACCCGGAGAAGAAGCCCCGGCUAACUUCGUG